ACUCCUACGGGAGGCAGCAGUGGGGAAUAUUGCACAAUGGGCGCAAGCCUGAUGCAGCCAUGCCGCGUGUGUGAAGAAGGCCUUCGGGUUGUAAAGCACUUUCAGUCAGGAGGAAAGGUUAGUAGUUAAUACCUGCUAGCUGUGACGUUACUGAACAGAAGAAGCACCGGCUAACUAC
RNAcentral lists this ribosomal RNA (178 nucleotides) under uncultured Gammaproteobacteria bacterium. RNAcentral describes it as "partial 16S ribosomal RNA". It matches the Rfam family "Bacterial small subunit ribosomal RNA", at positions 335 to 504 of the family's 1533-position model. The record is from RNAcentral. Lineage: Bacteria; Pseudomonadati; Pseudomonadota; Gammaproteobacteria.